UGUAGGAGCGAGCCUGCUCGCGAUGGCGUCGUGUCAGGCAACAGUGAUGUUGGCUGCAAAAACGCUAUCGCGAGCAGGCUCGCUCCCACA
This 90-nucleotide non-coding RNA is filed under the name Pseudomonas sp. GV085. The record is from RNAcentral. Lineage: Bacteria; Pseudomonadati; Pseudomonadota; Gammaproteobacteria; Pseudomonadales; Pseudomonadaceae.